Molecule: non-coding RNA, 72 nt
Organism: Phthorimaea operculella (potato tuberworm)
Lineage: Eukaryota; Metazoa; Arthropoda; Insecta; Lepidoptera; Gelechiidae
Source: the annotation of a GenBank genome assembly
GCAUCGAUAGCUCAGUGGCAGAGCGGUGGGGCGUUUACCCAUGCAGUCCGGGUUCGAUCCCCGGUCGAUGCA